AGACCAUGGUGUGGACAUUCUCUCUGCAAAUCUUUGAACCUUUCCCAGACCUCGAACAAACUCUCAUCGGCCUGUUGAGUAAUAGAAAUAAUCAGGCUCCUCAGACG
This is a non-coding RNA of Spinacia oleracea (spinach), 107 nucleotides long. The record is from Rfam. NCBI's taxonomy places the organism in Eukaryota, Viridiplantae, Streptophyta, Magnoliopsida, Caryophyllales, Amaranthaceae.